CGUCAUUUGCACCCUCAAGCUAUGCUUGGUAUUGGAGGCCGUCCCGCUGGGGCGCCCCCGAAACGCAGCGGCGACGUAGCCGGACUCCCUGGCGUAGUGACUUAACUCGCCCCGGAGCCGUCGGUCAUGCGUUUGCCGGACAACGCCCAAUAUUAUAUUGAAUCGACCUCGGAUCAGGUAGGACUACCCGCUGAACUUAA
RNAcentral lists this unclassified non-coding RNA (200 nucleotides) under soil metagenome. RNAcentral's name for it is "partial contains internal transcribed spacer 2 and large subunit ribosomal RNA". The record is from RNAcentral.